GCUGUCAUAGCUCAGGGGUAGAGCACUUCAUUGGUAAUGAAGAGGUCCAGGGUUCAAUUCCCUGUGACAGCACCA
This 75-nucleotide transfer RNA is filed under the name Acidocella sp. RNAcentral describes it as "tRNA-Thr". It matches the Rfam family "tRNA". From Rfam's summary of the family: Transfer RNA (tRNA) molecules are approximately 80 nucleotides in length. Their secondary structure includes four short double-helical elements and three loops (D, anti-codon, and T loops). RNAcentral also lists the same sequence under 6 other names. The record is from RNAcentral. Lineage: Bacteria; Pseudomonadati; Pseudomonadota; Alphaproteobacteria; Acetobacterales; Acidocellaceae.